This 3081-nucleotide long non-coding RNA is filed under the name Homo sapiens (human). Its description in RNAcentral is "HSALNT0043144". The stretch from base 456 to 557 matches the Rfam family "Y RNA". Lineage: Eukaryota; Metazoa; Chordata; Mammalia; Primates; Hominidae. The record is from RNAcentral.
CUGAAACCAAACAUGAUGGGUAAAGCAGUAAGUAAAAGCCAUAAGGAAACAGAAGGCAAGAGGCUGAGAGAAAUAGAGAGGAAGUUAUCCGGCAAGGCCAGAGGGAUAGAAUCACCACGAUGGGGCAGGGAAUAGGAGGCAAAGAUACACCUGCCUGUGGGAGGCGAGGGAUGAGAUAACCCAGUCUCCAGAGUUAUGACCUUCCAAUUACUGACAUUCCAAUGGCUCUGUACAGCAAUUACGAUACUCUUGUCUCCCUAAUUUGCAUCCUUAAAGUGAUCACCCAUUUUAGAAGUUAGGUAACCUGAGCAUGUCUGAGCAAGGCUUUAUAAAAUUAACAGCAGAACCUGGAAAAGUCUAUCCUGUACACCCCGUUGCUGCUAUCAUUUAGAAAAUCUGUUAUCUAACUCUAGGUUUAAAAACAGUAAGUGCCUGUCUAAGAAACAGAAACUUUAAGCUGGUCCGAAUGCAGUGGUAUUUACAACUAAUUGAUCACAACCGGUUACAGAUUUCUUUGUUCCUUCUCCACUCCCACUGCUUAACUUGACCAGCCUUAAAAAAAUAAAUUAAAAACAGGAGGCCAGGCACAGUGGUUCACGCCUAUAAUCCCAGCACUUUGCGAGGCCGAGGCUUGAGGACUGUUUGAGCCCAGCGGUUCAGGACCAGCCUGGGCAACACAAUGAGACCUCACAUAUACAGAAAAUAAAAAAUAGCCGGGCGUGGUGGUGCUUGCCGGUAGUUCUAGGCUUGGGAGGCUCAGGCUGAAAUUUGAGGUUACAGUGAGCUAUGAUAGCACCACUGCACUCCAGCCUGGGUGACAGAGUAAAACCCUGUCUCAAAAGAAAGAGGAAAAUUUUGAUGUUUGCAUAGGAAGACUCACUGAUUCCAUAUAGAACCACUAAUGCUAAUUACCAUAAGCAAAGAUUAAGUGCAGUCCGGGCAUGGUGGCUCACACCUAUCAUCACUUUGGGAGGCCGAGGUGGGAGGAUGGCUUGAGCCCAGGAGUUUGAGACCAGCCUGGGCAACAUAGUGAGACCCCAUUUCUAUUUUUAAAAAAAAAUACACACACACACACACACACACACACACACACACACGGGAAAAAAGAGUAAGUGCAGAGGAAAGCUUUCAAGCAACAGCAAAAUUCACCACUGCCUGUUUGCACCAUCUUCAAGUAGGUCCUAUUCAAUUGUCUGGUUACUGAAAGUCUCCUGACCCCUCUACACUCCCAUAUCAGGAUCCCAUAUCACUCCCUAAGCAGAAUCGUUGUAGAAUGUCCUUUGGCAAACAGCUCCAUUUAAAAUUAAACUAAAAGGUCUUAUUAUUCCAGUAAUGCAUUUUAAACUUACUAUUCUUGCUGCUUUAGAAGAGAAAACGUUAGCAAAAACUAGAUUGUCAACAGUAGAAAUUAAGGUACUAAAGGAAAACAGCUUGUAAAAGUUUUAUGGCAUACUCAUGAAUACCACCAAAUUCGCCCCUUCCUCGAACUAGGGUCAUUUUAAAGUAAAAACAAAAACCUAAGGCUUUGAGCCAAAAAUUAUGCCACUACAAACCACAGUUUUAAGACAAAGUUGCCAACCAUGCAGGUAUCGUUCAAUGCAGAAGUCACAAUGCAGAAGAUAACCUUUGUACUCAAAUUUUAUGAAUUCAUUAAGGUUUUCCCUUUUCCCCUCAUCGCCUUCACAUGGGAAGUGGGAUGUAAAAGUUAAAAUGCCUAACUAUGCAAUUCCUUCUGCAAUUUGUUGAACAGCUUCUAGAGAAAACCAAGAUAAUGUGGUAAAUAAACUUCACAGCAUCUUGUCCUCAUGCACUCAACACGUGCCCAAGACUUACUUGCUGAUGAUGAAAUGUGCUGUUGGUGCCAACAGUUUUAAGCCACUGGCAAGGAAAACAUUCUAAGAAACCCUGGGCCAGUUAUAAUCUGCCUUCCCUAUUAUCACGCCAAUUCUAUGCAAUCAUCAUAUGCAAAACUGGGCAUUCAUCAUCACUGCACGGAAUCCAAACGCGAUUCUCGGGGGUGCCCACGCUCGGCCUCCCACCCGGGUCCGACUCCUUGGAAGGGGCCUGGCCUAGCGCGCACCUGCACACGUGCGCCGGGAGGCGGGAGGUCGUCCCGCGGCCCAGCUGGUUUGUUUUCAACAAUACGGUCAAAGCCACACGCCCACCGUUAUUUACGCCGCCAGCCAGCGCCGGCACUUCGGAGGGAGGAAGGAAGCACCUAAGGCGCUGGGGGCGGAAACGCUGAGGAGGAGGGGUGCGCCUCAGGCGAGAGCUGGCCGGCGCCGACCCGGCCUGGGGCAGCGGCCGCAGCUCCCCGCCCGGGACCGCGCAAAAAGGCCCAAGGUCCCGGGCCGCACUCACCGAAGUCCAGGAACUGCUUCAUGGAGAGCGGGGACGGCGAGAAGCGCGCGUAGAAGUCCACCUGGCCCGGAACGCCGCGCUCGGACGCCGGGCUGGAGCCCGAGUCCGAGCUGAAGCUGCGGCUGAAGCCGGCGGCGCGCAGCCCCGGGCCCGGGCCGGCCAAGGCGGCUCCGCGAAGCAGCCGCGCCAGCCUCAUGCCGAGUCCCGCUAGAGAAGCCACAGCCAGUACGCCAGGUUUCCCCGCGCCUCUGCCGAGUGUCAUUCUCCAGCUGGGAUUGAGAACAAGGGGAAGCUGGCCAUAGAGCCAGGUGACCAAAGAUGGAAGACAAAGGGUGGGCUGUGAUUCCCAGAGCUCCAAGCCUUGUUCUGUCUUGUCACACCAACUGUUACUGAUGAACAGGUUUACAAUCUUUGAGGCCUGGCUGACUCAUGGAACAACUAGGACAAGAAACAAAGACAAAGAACACACACCUGACUGGACAGAGAUAAACCAAGAGCUGAGAGUUUUGGAAACAAGGCUGGAGCUGAGGAAAAGGACUGGGAACACGAACCUGUACAAACAACAAAUUCUUACAACAGAAAACAAGCCACUCCUGGCCAUCAAGAAACCCACAAAUCUCAGAAGCAAAAGCAAAACAAAUGAAAAUACAAACCAAAUAGUCUCUAUUACCUUCAUGCCUGUUGGGUCCCAAUAAAGGAAUCAUUCCAAUAAAGGAUUCA